Non-coding RNA from Pogonomyrmex barbatus (red harvester ant), 72 nucleotides. The record is from the annotation of a RefSeq genome assembly. NCBI's taxonomy places the organism in Eukaryota, Metazoa, Arthropoda, Insecta, Hymenoptera, Formicidae.
GCCUCUGUAGUCGAAAGGAUAAGAUGUCUGCCUGAUAAGCAGAAGAUCCAGGUUCGAUUCCUGACUGAGGAU